RNAcentral lists this ribosomal RNA (429 nucleotides) under Pseudomonadota bacterium. RNAcentral's name for it is "Proteobacteria bacterium partial 16S ribosomal RNA". It matches the Rfam family "Bacterial small subunit ribosomal RNA", at positions 355 to 776 of the family's 1533-position model. The record is from RNAcentral. Lineage: Bacteria; Pseudomonadati; Pseudomonadota.
UGGGGAAUAUUGGACAAUGGGGGAACCCUGAUCCAGCCAUGCCGCGUGUGUGAAGAAGGCCUUAUGGUUGUAAAGCACUUUAAGCGAGGAGGAGGGUACUGGUAUUAAUACUACCAGGUACUGGACGUUACUCGCAGAAUAAGCACCGGCUAACUCUGUGCCAGCAGCCGCGGUAAUACAGUGGGUGCGAGCGUUAAUCGGAUUUACUGGGCGUAAAGCGUGCGUAGGCGGCUAAUUGAGUCGGAUGUGAAAUCCCCGAGCUUAACUUGGGAAUUGCAUUCGAUACUGGUUAGCUAGAGUGUGGGAGAGGAUGGUAGAAUUCCAGGUGUAGCGGUGAAAUGCGUAGAGAUCUGGAGGAAUACCGAUGGCGAAGGCAGCCAUCUGGCCUAACACUGACGCUGAGGUACGAAAGCAUGGGGAGCAAACAGG